UACGUAGGGUGCAAGCGUUAAUCGGAAUUACUGGGCGUAAAGCGUGCGCAGGCGGUUGUGCAAGUCAGGUGUGAAAUCCCCGGGCUUAACCUGGGAACUGCACUUGUGACUGCACAGCUGGAGUGCGGCAGAGGGGGAUGGAAUUCCGCGUGUAGCAGUGAAAUGCGUAGAUAUGCGGAGGAACACCGAUGGCGAAGGCAAUCCCCUGGGCCUGCACUGACGCUCAUGCACGAAAGCGUGGGGAGCGAACAGG
RNAcentral lists this ribosomal RNA (253 nucleotides) under uncultured bacterium. RNAcentral's name for it is "partial 16S ribosomal RNA". It matches the Rfam family "Bacterial small subunit ribosomal RNA", at positions 524 to 776 of the family's 1533-position model. The record is from RNAcentral.